Molecule: ribosomal RNA, 914 nt
Filed under: uncultured archaeon
Lineage: Archaea
Description: bacterial SSU rRNA
Rfam family: Archaeal small subunit ribosomal RNA
Source: RNAcentral
UUCCGGUUGAUCCUGCCGGACCCCACUGCUAUCGGGAUGGGACUAAGCCAUGCAAGUCGUAUGUUGAGAGCGCGGCGAACGGCUCCGUAACACGUAGUUAACCUACCCUCGGGACGGGGAUAACCCCGGGAAACUGGGAUUAAUACCUGCUAGAUGAUUCUGCCUGGAAUGGCUUAUCAUCGAAAGGAACAAGCGCCCGAGGAUGGGGCCGCGUCCGAUCAGGUUGUUGGUGAGGUAACGGCUCACCAAGCCUUUUACCGGUGCGGGCCGUGGGAGCGGGAGCCCGGAGAUGGGCACUGAGACAAGGGCCCAGGCCCUACGGGGCGCAGCAGUCGCGAAAACUUUGCAAUACACGAAAGUGUGACAGGGCUAUCCCGAGUGCCAUCCGCUGAGGAAGGCUUUUACCCAGUGUAGAUAGCUGGGAGAAUAAGGAGAGGGCAAGAUCUGGUGUCAGCCGCCGCGGUAAUACCAGCUCUCCGAGUGGUGUGGAUGUUUAUUGGGCCUAAAGCAUCCGUAGCUGGCUGGGCAAGUCCCCUGUUAAAUCCACCGAUUCAAUCGUUGGUGUGCGGGGGAUACUGUUCGGCUAGGGGACGGGAGAGGCCGACGGUAUUUUCGGGGUAGGGGUGAAAUCCUAUAAUCCCGGAAGGACCACCAGUGGCGAAGGCUGUCGGCUAGAACGCGCCCAACGGUGAGGGAUGAAAGCUGGGGGAGCGAACCGGAUUAGAUACCCGGGUAGUCCCAGCUGUAAACGAUGCAGGCUAGGUGUUUGGGCGGCCACGUGCCGCUCUAGUGCCGCAAAGAAGUUGUUAAGCCUGCCGCCUGGGGAGUACGGCCGCAAGGCUGAAACUUAAAGGAAUUGGCGGGGGAGCACCACAAGGGGUGAAGCUUGCGGUUUAAUUGGAGUCAACGCCGGA